CGGGGAGUAGCUCAGAUGGCUUAGAGUGCGCGAUUCGGGUUCGCGAGGUCGCAGGUUCGAGUCCUGUCUCCCCGACAA
RNAcentral lists this transfer RNA (78 nucleotides) under Candidatus Pacebacteria bacterium CG_4_10_14_0_8_um_filter_43_12. Its description in RNAcentral is "tRNA-Pro". It matches the Rfam family "tRNA". From Rfam's summary of the family: Transfer RNA (tRNA) molecules are approximately 80 nucleotides in length. Their secondary structure includes four short double-helical elements and three loops (D, anti-codon, and T loops). Further hydrogen bonds mediate the characteristic L-shaped molecular structure. tRNAs have two regions of fundamental functional importance: the anti-codon, which is responsible for specific mRNA codon recognition, and the 3' end, to which the tRNAs corresponding amino acid is attached (by aminoacyl-tRNA synthetases). tRNAs cope with the degeneracy of the genetic code in two manners: having more than one tRNA (with a specific anti-codon) for a particular amino acid; and 'wobble' base-pairing, i.e. permitting non-standard base-pairing at the 3rd anti-codon position. The record is from RNAcentral. Lineage: Bacteria; Bacillati; Minisyncoccota. RNAcentral also lists the same sequence under 1 other name.